AGCGAACGCUGGCGGCAGGCCUAACACAUGCAAGUCGAACGAACUCUUCGGAGUUAGUGGCGGACGGGUGAGUAACACGUGGGAACGUGCCUUUAGGUUCGGAAUAACUCAGGGAAACUUGUGCUAAUACCGAAUGUGCCCUUCGGGGGAAAGAUUUAUCGCCUUUAGAGCGGCCCGCGUCUGAUUAGCUAGUUGGUGAGGUAAAGGCUCACCAAGGCGACGAUCAGUAGCUGGUCUGAGAGGAUGAUCAGCCACAUUGGGACUGAGACACGGCCCAAACUCCUACGGGAGGAAGCAGUGGGGAAUCUUGCGCAAGGGGCGAAAGCCUGACGCAGCCAUGCCGCGUGAAUGAUGAAGGUCUUAGGAUUGUAAAAUUCUUUCACCGGGGACGAUAAUGACGGUACCCGGAGAAGAAGCCCCGGCUAACUUCGUGCCAGCCGCCGCCGUAA
This 449-nucleotide ribosomal RNA is filed under the name uncultured bacterium. RNAcentral's name for it is "partial 16S ribosomal RNA". It matches the Rfam family "Bacterial small subunit ribosomal RNA", at positions 29 to 523 of the family's 1533-position model. The record is from RNAcentral.